Chelonoidis abingdonii (Abingdon island giant tortoise) is the source of this 142-nucleotide unclassified non-coding RNA. Lineage: Eukaryota; Metazoa; Chordata; Testudines; Testudinidae. The record is from Ensembl.
UGGACACCCUUAGGCAAUGAAGUGUACAUGGCAAGAUACAGUGCAAGCUUCUCACACUGCCCCACAUACCCUGUGCUGGAGGGACCACCUCUGCUGGGGAAAGGGUAAUUCAGUCUCCAGGCUAAUUCGGCCUUUGCCUUCU